UCGUCACGCUAUUGAUAAUGUUUUCGUAUGCGCAUGUCAUUCUUGUUUUUUUAGUGUGCUUUCUUUUUAAAUAGUGUGAGUGUAGAUAGUAGUCAGUCGCCCUUACAAAAAGGAAGCGCGCUUGUUGAUGAACGAAAUAUAGGGAGAACUAAGGAACACAAUUCAUUGACAGUACACAGGAGAGUGUCUCUCGUCUACAGAAUGGCAUACUACUCUAGACAAAUUACGAAAACAAUGAUGAAACAAAAACGACAGCAGUUAACAUCAAACUGUACGAAGAAAUCAAAAUUAUCACUCAAUGGCCAAUUAAUUUAACAUUAAGAUCGAUCAACGCAUCCUAGGACCUGUCUCCAUCAAUCUGACGAUCAUAAACGUCUAAGA
Long non-coding RNA from Mizuhopecten yessoensis (Yesso scallop), 381 nucleotides. RefSeq lists it as uncharacterized. NCBI's taxonomy places the organism in Eukaryota, Metazoa, Mollusca, Bivalvia, Pectinida, Pectinidae. The transcript is spliced from 2 exons. The record is from RefSeq and is a predicted model, not a curated record.